This 238-nucleotide unclassified non-coding RNA is filed under the name Hevea brasiliensis (rubber tree). The record is from RNAcentral. Lineage: Eukaryota; Viridiplantae; Streptophyta; Magnoliopsida; Malpighiales; Euphorbiaceae.
CCCCGAUUUCAAAACUCUUUGCACCUCUGACAAAUAUUGGGUCCCCAGCUUAGGGCCAAGCUCUGGCUCCAUCAAAGCAUCCAAUCCACCUUUAUCAAGAAUAGCAUCAAAUGUCUCAUCUGCGAACUGCAUGCUGGUCAUGUCCAUGACGCGCCACCGCAUGCCAGGCCGUCCUCUCACAUUCCUCCUCAGCAUAUCGGAAAUCACAACUUUCGAGAAAUCAAUAUUUGUAAUAUCC